Schistocerca nitens (vagrant locust) is the source of this 318-nucleotide long non-coding RNA. RefSeq lists it as uncharacterized. The transcript is spliced from 3 exons. The record is from RefSeq and is a predicted model, not a curated record. Lineage: Eukaryota; Metazoa; Arthropoda; Insecta; Orthoptera; Acrididae.
GAAAAGAAGAUUAAUAGAAAAUGUUAAGUAAUUAAAGAGUGCAUAGUCAUUUAAAUGGGAGUAUCUCGGAAAUAACAUUUUCGAAAUACGUGCGUGCUACGUCGUCAUUUCCUCCAAGAGUUGAUUAGCACUUGAGUUCUUUGCAGUGAUUUAAAUGGUCUAAAUGCUAAGCCAUAUAUGACUUUCGGCUUUACAUGUACCACAAUUUUAACUGGGCUUUGGAAGGUUUCUAUAGAACUGGUGAAUACCUGGGAUCCAGUAACAUACGGGAUAUUGAUAUGUCCGUUUGGAUUCAGGAAGGCAAAGUGCGGAAGGUCG